CGCUCUUGUUUCUCUUCAUAUCGUAUAAAUCUUUCGCCUUUUACUAAAGAUUUCCGUGGAGAGGAACAACAAGAGUAUUACUCAAUUUUUUGAUGCCCUGCUAUUGUGGGGCU
RNAcentral lists this small nuclear RNA (113 nucleotides) under Amphilophus citrinellus (Midas cichlid). Its description in RNAcentral is "U5 spliceosomal RNA (ENSACIG00000023220.1)". It matches the Rfam family "U5 spliceosomal RNA". From Rfam's summary of the family: U5 RNA is a component of both types of known spliceosome. The precise function of this molecule is unknown, though it is known that the 5' loop is required for splice site selection and p220 binding, and that both the 3' stem-loop and the Sm site are important for Sm protein binding and cap methylation. Lineage: Eukaryota; Metazoa; Chordata; Actinopteri; Cichliformes; Cichlidae. The record is from RNAcentral.